RNAcentral lists this ribosomal RNA (425 nucleotides) under uncultured bacterium. RNAcentral describes it as "bacterial SSU rRNA". It matches the Rfam family "Bacterial small subunit ribosomal RNA", at positions 354 to 796 of the family's 1533-position model. The record is from RNAcentral.
GUGGGGAAUCUUGCGCAAUGGGCGAAAGCCUGACGCAGCCAUGCCGCGUGAAUGAUGAAGGUCUUAGGAUUGUAAAAUUCUUUCACCGGGGACGAUAAUGACGGUACCCGGAGAAGAAGCCCCGGCUAACUUCGUGCCAGCAGCCGCGGUAAUACGAAGGGGGCUAGCGUUGCUCGGAAUUACUGGGCGUAAAGGGCGCGUAGGCGGACAGUUUAGUCAGAGGUGAAAGCCCAGGGCUCAACCUUGGAAUUGCCUUUGAUACUGGCUGUCUUGAGUACGGGAGAGGUGAGUGGAACUCCGAGUGUAGAGGUGAAAUUCGUAGAUAUUCGGAAGAACACCAGUGGCGAAGGCGACUCACUGGCCCGUUACUGACGCUGAGGCGCGAAAGCGUGGGGAGCAAACAGGAUUAGAAACCCUAGUAGUCC